This 168-nucleotide unclassified non-coding RNA is filed under the name uncultured Sordariomycetes. RNAcentral's name for it is "sequence contains ITS2". The record is from RNAcentral. Lineage: Eukaryota; Fungi; Ascomycota; Sordariomycetes.
CAACCCUCAGGCCCCCUUUAUAUGGCCUGGCGUUGGGAUAUCUACAGUUAAUCGCAGGCCUUGAAAGAGAGUAGCGGCGCCCGCUAACACUUUGAGCGUAGUAGAUGUCUUUCUCGUCUAAGACGUCUGGUGGGCCGCCGGCCGUAAAACAGCCCCUAGCCAUCGCAA